RNAcentral lists this ribosomal RNA (253 nucleotides) under uncultured bacterium. RNAcentral's name for it is "partial 16S ribosomal RNA". It matches the Rfam family "Bacterial small subunit ribosomal RNA", at positions 524 to 776 of the family's 1533-position model. The record is from RNAcentral.
UACGAAGGGGGCGAGCGUUGUUCGGAUUUACUGGGCGUAAAGGGCGCGCAGGCGGCUAUCCAAGUCAGGCGUGAAAGCCCCGGGCUUAACCUGGGAGGUGCGUCUGGGACUGGGUGGCUAGAGAUCGGGAGAGGAGAGUGGAAUUCCCAGUGUAGAGGUGAAAUUCGUAGAUAUUCGCAAGAACACCAGUGGCGAAGGCGGCUCACUGGCCCGAUACUGACGCUGAGGUGCGAAAGCGUGGGGAGCAAACAGG